Molecule: ribosomal RNA, 471 nt
Filed under: uncultured bacterium
Lineage: Bacteria
Description: SSU rRNA
Rfam family: Bacterial small subunit ribosomal RNA
Source: RNAcentral
AGAAUGAACGUUGGCGGCGUGGAUUAGGCAUGCAAGUCGUACGGGCCGCAAGGCCAGUGGCGCAAGGGUGAGUAAGGCGACGGUAACCAACCCCAUGGUUGGGUAUAGCCGCGGGAAACCGCGGGUAAUCCCCAGCGACGCAUGGCCUCGGCAUCGAGGCCCUGCCAAAGCUCAGGCGCCGUGGGACGGGCCGUCGUGGUAUUAGGUAGUUGGCGGGGUAACGGCCCACCAAGCCUGCGAUGCCUACCGGGCGUGCGAGCGUGGCCCGGCACACUGGGACUGAGACACUGCCCAGACUCCUACGGGAGGCUGCAGUCGAGAAUCUUCGGCAAUGGGCGCAAGCCUGACCGAGCGACGCCGCGUGGAGGAUGAAGGCCUUCGGGUUGUAAACUCCUGUCGAGGGGGAAGAAGGGUCGAAAGACCUUGACUGAUCCCUGGAGGAGCACGGGCUAAGUUCGUGCCAGCAGCCGC